CUAGAUUGAUGGGCUUUUAUCCCACGAAAAUUUAGUUAACAGCUAAAUACCCUAAACAACUGGCUUCAAUCUA
This 73-nucleotide transfer RNA is filed under the name Conepatus chinga (Molina's hog-nosed skunk). RNAcentral describes it as "tRNA-Asn". Lineage: Eukaryota; Metazoa; Chordata; Mammalia; Carnivora; Mephitidae. The record is from RNAcentral.